UACAGAGGGGGCAAGCGUUGUCCGGAAUCAUUGGGCGUAAAGAGCGUGUAGGCGGCCCGAUAAGUCGGUUGUGAAAGUCAAGGGCUCAACCCUUGAAAGCCGGCCGAUACUGUCGGGCUAGAAUCCGGAAGAGGCGAGUGGAAUUCCUGGUGUAGCGGUGAAAUGCGCAGAUAUCAGGAGGAACACCAAUGGCGAAGGCAGCUCGCUGGGACGGUAUUGACGCUGAGACGCGAAAGCGUGGGGAGCAAACAGG
Molecule: ribosomal RNA, 253 nt
Filed under: uncultured bacterium
Lineage: Bacteria
Description: partial 16S ribosomal RNA
Rfam family: Bacterial small subunit ribosomal RNA
Source: RNAcentral